CCCAGUUGGACUUCCCUGGCGAUAGAGCCCACCGGCGAGCGCUCCUUCUUCCUCCCGACGUCACCUCCUGUACGACGCGCGCUCAACCUCCCGAUCGCCCUCUUCUCGAUCCAGCGGCUCGAGCUCGCCUCCCGAGGCGUUAAAAGGAGCCCGAGACCUCCUCCUCCGCCCUAGGGUUCCCUCUCCUUUCCUCCCCAGCGCCGCCAGUUUCCCUCGUGCCCUCGUUCUUCCCUGGUAAGUUCUGAGAGAAAGCAGAGAGAGAGGGUGCAGCGCCUCCUCCGUCUACCCGCCGAUCCGUCGUCUCCGGCACUGGGCGCCAUGUCCGGGGGCUNNNN
Molecule: long non-coding RNA, 335 nt
Filed under: Hordeum vulgare
Lineage: Eukaryota; Viridiplantae; Streptophyta; Magnoliopsida; Poales; Poaceae
Description: long non-coding RNA (HVUL_LNC006053)
Source: RNAcentral